RNAcentral lists this ribosomal RNA (1456 nucleotides) under metagenome. RNAcentral describes it as "bacterial LSU rRNA". It matches the Rfam family "Bacterial large subunit ribosomal RNA", at positions 842 to 2287 of the family's 2925-position model. The record is from RNAcentral.
AAGAUAGCUGGUUCUCCCGAAAUCUAUUGAGGUAGAGCCUCGAGAAUUGUGUCUAGGAGGUAGAGCGACUGGAUGGGCGCGGGGGAGCGUAGCUCCUACCAACCCCAACCAAACUCCGAAUACCUAUGACAUGGACCUCGGGAGGCAGUCACUGAGCGAUAAUGUCCAGUGGCGAGAGGGAAAGAACCCAGAGCCACAGCUAAGGUCCCAAAGUGGCCGCUCAGUAUAGCGAAGGAUGUGUUUUUACUUUGACAACUGGGAGGUUGGCUUAGAAGCAGCCAUUCCUUGAAAGAGUGCGUAACAGCUCACCAGUCCAGUGAAAAUGCGCCGAGAAUGGUCGGGAUUAAGCGGCCCGCCGAAGCUUGGCCUUCAUACUUUGUAUGAGGGGUAGGGGAGCGUUCUGUUAGCUGUGAAGGCAUGAGGGAACUCAUGUUGGAGCGAACAGAAGUGAGGAUGCCGGACUGAGUACGCGCAAAUGCGGGUGAAAACCCCGCACACCGUAAGCCCAAGGAUUCCUGCGCCAUGGCAAUCAGCGCAGGGUGAGGCGGACCCUAAGGCGAGGCCCCAGAGGCGUAGUCGAUGGAUAGCCGGUUAAAAUUCCGGCCCUGUCCGCAGUGCGUUAUUACCUACAGAGGGACCCUGAAACGAAGCGCGAGCGGUUUUGUGGAUUGACCGUUCAAAGGUGUAGGGCAACCGAGACCUGAAUACGAGAGCACGGGGGCAACUCCAAGCUCGAGUCGCGUAGAGUCGGCAGGCUAGAAAAGCUCUGUUUGGGAGUGCUGCGAACAACCGUACCGCAAACCGACACAGGUGGGCAAGGCGAGUAGCCUAAGGUGAACGAGUGAAACGUGGUCAAGGAACUCGGCAUAAUGAUCCCGUAACUUCGGAAGAAGGGAUGCCAGUUUGGGUAGCCAGCUUCGCGCUGGUCGCUCUUUCUGGUCGCAGAGAAUCGACUCAAGCGACUGUUUAGCAAAAACACAGGUGCGUGCUAAGCCGCGUAAGGCGCCGUAUACGCACUGACGCCUGCCCGGUGCCGGAAGGUUAAGGGGAGAUGUUAGCCGCAAGGCGAAGCAUUGAGCCGAAGCCCCGGUAAACGGCGGCCGUAACGAUAACGGUCCUAAGGUAGCGAAAUUCCUUGUCGGGUAAGUUCCGACCUGCACGAAUGGCGUAACGACUUGAGUACUGUCUCGACCACGUGCUCGGCGAAAUGGCAGUAUCGGUGAGGAUUCCGAUUUUCCCGCAGCAGGACAAAAAGACCCCAUGCACCUUUACUGUAGCUUGCCAUUGGACGUCGCACGUGACUGUGUAGCAUAGGUGGGAGCCUUUGAGGCCCGGGCGCUAGCUCGGGAUUAGGCAUCAGUGAAAUACCACCCUGGCUCUUGUAACGUCCUCACCACGCUCUGGAAAACCCAGGCUGGGACCGUGGCAGGUGGGCAGUUUGACUGGGGCGGUCGAA